AGUUGAGCGAUUUACUUCGGUAAGAGCGGCGGACGGGUGAGUAACGCGUGGGUAACCUACCCUGUACACACGGAUAACAUACCGAAAGGUAUGCUAAUACGGGAUAAUAUAUUUGAGAGGCAUCUCUUAAAUAUCAAAGGUGAGCCAGUACAGGAUGGACCCGCGUCUGAUUAGCUAGUUGGUAAGGUAACGGCUUACCAAGGCGACGAUCAGUAGCCGACCUGAGAGGGUGAUCGGCCACAUUGGAACUGAGACACGGUCCAAACUCCUACGGGAGGCGGCAGUGGGGAAUAUUGCACAAUGGGCGAAAGCCUGAUGCAGCAACGCCGCGUGAGUGAUGAAGGCCUUCGGGUCGUAAAACCCUGUCCUCAAGGAAGAUAAUGACGGUACUUGAGGAGGAAGCCCCGGCUAACUACGUGCCAGCAGCCGCGGUAAUACGUAGGGGGCUAGCGUUAUCCGGAUUUACUGGGCGUAAAGGGUGCGUAGGCGGUCUUUCAAGUCAGGAGUGAAAGGCUACGGCUCAACCGUAGUAAGCUCUUGAAACUGGGAGACUUGAGUGCAGGAGAGGAGAGUGGAAUUCCUAGUGUAGCGGUGAAAU
Molecule: ribosomal RNA, 598 nt
Filed under: uncultured bacterium
Lineage: Bacteria
Description: bacterial SSU rRNA
Rfam family: Bacterial small subunit ribosomal RNA
Source: RNAcentral